This 109-nucleotide ribosomal RNA is filed under the name Streptococcus pneumoniae. Lineage: Bacteria; Bacillati; Bacillota; Bacilli; Lactobacillales; Streptococcaceae. RNAcentral also lists the same sequence under 5 other names. The record is from RNAcentral.
UGAUGGCAGAGAGGUCACACCCGUUCCCAUACCGAACACGGAAGUUAAGCUCUCUAGCGCCGAUGGUAGUUGGGACCUUGUCCCUGUGAGAGUAGGACGUCGCCAAGCA